Molecule: transfer RNA, 73 nt
Filed under: Pleurosigma inscriptura
Lineage: Eukaryota; Bacillariophyta; Bacillariophyceae; Naviculales; Pleurosigmataceae
Description: tRNA-Lys
Rfam family: tRNA
About the family: Transfer RNA (tRNA) molecules are approximately 80 nucleotides in length.
Source: RNAcentral
GAGUAUAUAGCUCAGUUGGUAGAGCAGUGGACUUUUAAUCCAAGGGUCUCGGGUUCAAAUCCCGGUAUACUCA